Molecule: ribosomal RNA, 436 nt
Filed under: Bacillus subtilis
Lineage: Bacteria; Bacillati; Bacillota; Bacilli; Caryophanales; Bacillaceae
Description: partial 16S ribosomal RNA
Source: RNAcentral
UGUUUUGCGUUAGCUGCAGCACUAAGGGGCGGAAACCCCUAACACUUAGCACUCAUCGUUUACGGCGUGGACUACCAGGGUAUCUAAUCCGUGUNCGNUCCCCACGCUUUCGCNCCUCAGCGUCAGUUACAGACCAGAGAGUCGCCUUCGCCACUGGUGUUCCUCCAUAUCUCUGCGCAUUUCACCGCUACACGUGGAAUUCCACUCUCCUCUUCUGCACUCAAGUUCCCCAGUUUCCAAUGACCCUCCCCGGUUGAGCCGGGGGCUUUCACAUCAGACUUAAGAAACCGCCUGCGAGCCNCUUUACGCCCAAUAAUUCCGGAUAACGCUUGCCACCUACGUAUUACCGCGGCUGCUGGCACGUAGUUAGCCGUGGCUUUCUGGUCAGGUACCGUCAAGGUAGCUCGGACCUAUACGAACAGGAUACUGGUCCUCC